This 496-nucleotide ribosomal RNA is filed under the name uncultured bacterium. RNAcentral describes it as "partial 16S ribosomal RNA". It matches the Rfam family "Bacterial small subunit ribosomal RNA", at positions 28 to 506 of the family's 1533-position model. The record is from RNAcentral.
GAUGAACGCUGGCGGCGUGCCUAAUACAUGCAAGUCGAGCGAACAGAUAAGGAGCUUGCUCCUUUGACGUUAGCGGCGGACGGGUGAGUAACACGUGGGUAACCUACCUAUAAGACUGGAAUAACUCCGGGAAACUGGGGCUAAUGCCGGAUAACAUUUAGAACCGCAUGGUUCUAAAGUGAAAGAUGGUUUUGCUAUCACUUAUAGAUGGACCCGCGCCGUAUUAGCUAGUUGGUAAGGUAACGGCUUACCAAGGCAACGAUACGUAGCCGACCUGAGAGGGUGAUCGGCCACACUGGAACUGAGACACGGUCCAGACUCCUACGGGAGGCAGCAGUAGGGAAUCUUCCGCAAUGGGCGAAAGCCUGACGGAGCAACGCCGCGUGAGUGAUGAAGGUCUUCGGAUCGUAAAACUCUGUUAUUAGGGAAGAACAAAUGUGUAAGUAACUGUGCACGUCUUGACGGUACCUAAUCAGAAAGCCACGGCUAACUACGU